This 403-nucleotide ribosomal RNA is filed under the name uncultured bacterium. Its description in RNAcentral is "partial 16S ribosomal RNA". It matches the Rfam family "Bacterial small subunit ribosomal RNA", at positions 30 to 526 of the family's 1533-position model. The record is from RNAcentral.
AUUGAACGCUGGCGGCAGGCCUAACACAUGCAAGUCGAGCGAGCGGCGGACGGGUGAGUAAUGUAUGGGGACUGCCCGCUAGAGGGGGAUAACAACUGGAAACGGUAGCUAAUACCGCAUACUAUCGGAUAACCCAUGUGGGAUUAGCUAGUAGGUGAGUGAAUGGCUCACCUAGGCGACGAUCCCUAGCUGGUCUGAGAGGAUGAUCAGCCACACUGGGACUGAGACACGGCCCCGACUCCUACGGAGGCAGCAGUGGGGAAUAUUGGACAAUGGGCGCAAGCCUGACGCAGCAAUGCCGCGUGUAUGAAGAAGGCCCUAGGGUUGUAAAGUACUGUUGGCAGAGAAGCGGUAUCUGCAGAAUAAGCACCGGCUAACUACGUGCCAGCAGCCGCGGUAAUUC